Molecule: small nuclear RNA, 140 nt
Organism: Betta splendens (Siamese fighting fish)
Lineage: Eukaryota; Metazoa; Chordata; Actinopteri; Anabantiformes; Osphronemidae
Gene: U4
Rfam family: U4 spliceosomal RNA
About the family: U4 small nuclear RNA (U4 snRNA) is a component of the major U2-dependent spliceosome.
Source: Ensembl
AUCCUUUUGCAGUGUCAGUAUUGUAGCCUAUGAGGGUUAUCAUGGCGUGAUUAUUGCUAUUUGAAAACCUUACUCAAUACCCUGCCUUGACAAUUUGAAAUAUGGUCAGCUAUGGCUAUUUUUGAUGAUCUUUAGGGAGA